Molecule: ribosomal RNA, 467 nt
Filed under: uncultured bacterium
Lineage: Bacteria
Description: partial 16S ribosomal RNA
Rfam family: Bacterial small subunit ribosomal RNA
Source: RNAcentral
GACGAACGCUGGCGGCGUGCUUAACACAUGCAAGUCGAACGGAAAGGCCCUGCUUUUGUGGGGUGCUCGAGUGGCGAACGGGUGAGUAACACGUGAGUAACCUGCCCUUGACUUUGGGAUAACUUCAGGAAACUGGGGCUAAUACCGGAUAGGAGCUCCUGCUGCAUGGUGGGGGUUGGAAAGUUUCGGCGGUUGGGGAUGGACUCGCGGCUUAUCAGCUUGUUGGUGGGGUAGUGGCUUACCAAGGCUUUGACGGGUAGCCGGCCUGAGAGGGUGACCGGCCACAUUGGGACUGAGAUACGGCCCAGACUCCUACGGGAGGCAACAGUGGGGAAUAUUCACAAUGGGCGGAAGCCUGAUGCAGCAACGCCGCGUGCGGGAUGACGGCCUUCGGGUUGUAAACCGCUUUCGCCUGUGACGAAGCGUGAGUGACGGUAAUGGGUAAAGAAGCACCGGCUAACUACGUG